UCGAAAAACAUUAGCUAGAUUGCUAACUCUAAAUAUUAUAUAGAUAGCAAUGCAAUUGAUCUAACAGUACAUUUGAUGUUCUACAAAAACUUUCCAUUGAUAGACCUAUAUAGGCUACUUGAUAACUAUUCACCACAAAUGGCGCUCUCCACUCCAUUCUACCGGCACAUAAUCUCAAUUACAUACUAUGCUUGUAAAGUGGUGUUAUUUCCUCUAUAUUGACAGUUGAGAAAUAAUUGGUAUACUCAUAAAGCAGAGACGUUCCUCUUUUUUAACAGUAAGUUGUUUUAAAAACGGUCUUUCCUGCAAUUAGCCUACAUUUUGAAAUGUUGCUCAACUGUCAGUACGCUUGCGCCUAUCAGAAUGGAUCUCUUCCUUUACUCCGUGUGCAAAGAGUGGAGCGGGAGUGAGAGCCAGCAACGAAACAAGGAAACGGCAGAUACUUUCAUUGUGGGAAGCAGUUUUAGGUGUCAUACUCUGGCUGUUCCUCUAUGAACACAGAAGGUAUGUUGUUGCUUACCCUGCUGGCCAGACAGGACACGUCCAGACAGGAGACCCCCAGGGCUAUCAGACAAUGCCACACCUGUGGACACACACAAAGAGGGUAGGAGGUCAGAAGAGGGUCAUUGUACUCCCUAUAAUAGUUUACAAUGAAUCUUUCCAAACCCUGCAUUCAGUAUUCAGCAUUGAAAAGUAAUCACCUCAUUCUGAUGUUAAUAUACAGUGUUAUGUGCUAAUCUAGCCCGGUCCAUGGUGUUAUAAUAACUGCUAUAGUAACUCACCAGGUAGCCCACAAAGCAUAGGUAUGCUAUACAAAGAAAGCCCGCCAGCACAUAGAGAGCCACACUGCUUAGGCUGGUCACAUAGACCACCACAAAGUGCAUGUUGAUGGCACAGACCACCAGGAUGACCACCCCUCCGCCUAUCUUCCACACCCUGAGGAGCACAGGCACAGCUGAGAUGGUAAGUUGGCACAAUGAUAAAUUGUCACCGUCAUCACAUGUAUGAAAUCAUUUCUCUAUCAGUGCAAAUACAGAAAAUCUAACUGCAUUCCAAAAUGGCACCCUUAUUUCCUACAGGCCCUGUUCAAAAGUAGUAUAUUAUGUAGGGAAUAGUGCUGAGCGAUGAACCAAAAUUUCAGGGGGGGGUUCGGUUAUUAAACAGCUAAUUGACAGACGUCGGUUUAAUUAGUUUCUCUAGAGAAAUCAAGUAAUUCACAAGAUAAAUUAAGUCAAGAACUAUGUUGGACACUGGGCUCAUUGGAAGUUGUAGUUUUCAUUAGGCAAAUAUUCAACCUAGCUCAACGCAGAAACUUGGUAAUUAACUAUAAUGAAUGACCAUAAUCCAUUACGCCUGUUCUUUCCGGCCACAGAAAGAGGUGGAUACACACAGACCAUAGGAGACCGCAUGAAAGAGGAAUGACAACACAACGAAGAGAGGGACAGGCAGUUCGUGAGGUAGCUCUACCUGAUUGAUAGUUUAGCUACUACUAUCCUACCUAAAUAGGAUGACUUGUUCAAUGAGAAGCACAGAAAUAACAGAUGGUUGUCUGGCUGGCUGCUACUGCUUGAGCAGAGAUGAGAUGGAGUCUCGUGUGGCUCAGUUGGUAGCAUGGCGAGUGCAACACAAGGGUUGUGGGAUCGAUUCCCAUGGGGACCAGUUAAAAAAAAACAUAGCUUUCACUACUGUAAGUAACUCUUGAUAAGAGCAUCUGCUAAAAUAACUCAAAUGUUCCACUACAAGUCCAUGGUGUUUGCCUACAAAACAAAAAGAGGAACUGCCCCUUCCUACCGUCAGGCUAUGCUCAAACCCUUCAUCUCAACCCGAGCACUCCGUUCUACCAUCUCUGGUCUCUUGGCCCUCCCAACGAUAAUGGGAGGGCAGCCCCCACUCUGCCCAAUCUCUUCUCUGUCCUGGCACCCCAAUGUUGGAACCAGCUUCCCCUUGAAACUAGGACAGCAGAGUCCCUGCUCAUCUUCCAAAAGCACCUGAAACCAUAACUCUUCAAAUAAUAUCUUAAAUAAUCUCCUCACCUCAACUACUAUGCCUGUAAUAUGUGGUUGUCCCACCUAGCUAUCUUAAGAUGAAUCCACUCACUAACUGUAAGUCGCUCUGGAUAGGAGUGUCUGUUAAAUGACUCAAAAUGUAAAUGUAAAAUUAGAUGAUGAUUUAAAGGAAUUAAAUUAUAAAGUCAUCAAAUAAAAACUAAGUAAUAUACACAACUGAAAUAUUGUAUUAAAGUAAGUAAUGUGACUACAUUUUGGUUGAGAAGCAGUAAUAGGCAUUCACUACCAUCAUGGGGCUCUUAUUGUUUUAUUCUGUGUUGUUACAGAAUUCAACCCACUGUCAGUGGCAGGAAAAAGGCAGGUGAUGGCUGAGGGAAGCUCUAAAAUAAUUUUAAUGUCAUUAUUUCAAAAUGCAUUUAAUGUUUAAAAUAAUACUGAUGAUUUUUUAAUAACUGAACCAACCUCAAAAAGCACUAAUCGCUCAGCACAAGUAGAAAAGUAGGUUAUGUUUGAGACGCAUCCCUGUCAUCACGUCUAUGAAUUAAUUGGUCUAUCGGUGAAAACAUAGAACCAAUCGAAGUCAUAUAAUAAUAAUUUGGUGGGUGCUUAUAUUUUUCCUAUUUUAUGUAUGUAUGAAUUAUACGCAUCUGUGAAUCGGAAAUGUUUUUUUUUUUUUUUUUGCAUAUCACAACUCCCCUCAGAGUCAGGGUCAGCCAUUAUCAAAGGCAACCCUGGAGCAAUUAAGGUUAGGUGCCUUGCUCAAGGGCAUAUCGACAGAUUUUUCACCUUGCCGGCUCGAACAAGCGGUUACUGGCCCAACGCUCUAACCCCUACCUGGCAGGAGACCUGCCACCCAUCUCUGGGGUAGAGGGUUAUGAUGACUCACAGUCCAUUAGCGAAGUCAUUCAUGAUGGAUGUCAGACUGGUGAAGGUCAGGAUGGGGAUCAGAGCAAACGGCAGCUAUAGAACAAGGAAAGGCAGAAAGAACAGUUAAAACUGACUGCAUUCAGUCCCCUUCUAUACCUUUGAAUACAAGCAUCAGCAUAACACCCUAAAAGACUCCCAGCCAGCCCUGAUUAGCUGCACUGGGAGGACAGCAGUACCCAGUCUCCAUGGUGUUCCCUCUCUAACCUGCAUGUCCCCAGACCCAGCCUCUACUCUCUCUGACCUGCCCCCUUGUCUCCUCUCUCUGACCUGCAUGUCCCCAGCCCUCAUGUCUCCUCUCUGUCAAGCCUCCCUGUCUCCUCUCUCUCUUUGUCCUCCAUGUCCCCAGACCUCCCACUCGCUCCGACCUGCAUGCUCUGCAGCACGUUGAGGAAGUCGUUCAUGCCCGUCAGGUGUUGCACGUCCUGGAAGAUGGCCACCAGCAGGGUGGGGAAGAUGGCGAUGGAGCGGGUGAGAAGAA
Molecule: long non-coding RNA, 3411 nt
Organism: Oncorhynchus nerka (sockeye salmon)
Lineage: Eukaryota; Metazoa; Chordata; Actinopteri; Salmoniformes; Salmonidae
Exons: 2
Source: RefSeq, a predicted model, not a curated record